Molecule: transfer RNA, 72 nt
Filed under: Camelus bactrianus (Bactrian camel)
Lineage: Eukaryota; Metazoa; Chordata; Mammalia; Artiodactyla; Camelidae
Also listed under: 2 other names
Rfam family: tRNA
About the family: Transfer RNA (tRNA) molecules are approximately 80 nucleotides in length.
Source: Rfam by way of RNAcentral
GAGGGUAUAGCUCAGGGGUAGAGUGAGUGCUUAGCAUGCACAAGGUCCUGGGUUCAAUACCCAGUACCUCCA